Molecule: transfer RNA, 77 nt
Filed under: Streptomyces agglomeratus
Lineage: Bacteria; Bacillati; Actinomycetota; Actinomycetes; Kitasatosporales; Streptomycetaceae
Rfam family: tRNA
About the family: Transfer RNA (tRNA) molecules are approximately 80 nucleotides in length. Their secondary structure includes four short double-helical elements and three loops (D, anti-codon, and T loops). Further hydrogen bonds mediate the characteristic L-shaped molecular structure. tRNAs have two regions of fundamental functional importance: the anti-codon, which is responsible for specific mRNA codon recognition, and the 3' end, to which the tRNAs corresponding amino acid is attached (by aminoacyl-tRNA synthetases). tRNAs cope with the degeneracy of the genetic code in two manners: having more than one tRNA (with a specific anti-codon) for a particular amino acid; and 'wobble' base-pairing, i.e. permitting non-standard base-pairing at the 3rd anti-codon position.
Source: Rfam by way of RNAcentral
CCCCUCGUAGCCCAGCGGCAGAGGCCGGCGCACUUAAAAGCGCCCAUGAAGCGCGGGUUCGAAUCCCGUCGAGGGGA